GAUAAACGCUGGCGGCGCACAUAAGACAUGCAAGUCGAACGGACUUAAUCGAUUCUUUUAGAUUCGAAGCGGUUAGUGGCGGACUGGUGAGUAACACGUAAGCAACCUGCCUAUUAGAGGGGAAUAACAGUGAGAAAUCACUGCUAAAACCGCAUAUGCCGUGAACAUCGCAUGAUGAAAACGGGAAAAGAGCAAUCUGCUAAUAGAUGGGCUUGCGUCUGAUUAGCUAGUUGGUGUGGUAAAGGCAUACCAAGGCAACGAUCAGUAGCCGGACUGAGAGGUUGAACGGCCACAUUGGGACUGAGAUACGGCCCAGACUCCUACGGGAGGCAGCAGUCGGGAAUAUUGCGCAAUGGAGGAAACUCUGACGCAGUGACGCCGCGUAUGGGAAGAAGGUUUUCGGAUUGUAAACCAUUUUAGACAAGGAAGAAACAAGACAG
Molecule: ribosomal RNA, 440 nt
Filed under: uncultured bacterium
Lineage: Bacteria
Description: bacterial SSU rRNA
Rfam family: Bacterial small subunit ribosomal RNA
Source: RNAcentral